This 492-nucleotide ribosomal RNA is filed under the name uncultured bacterium. RNAcentral's name for it is "partial 16S ribosomal RNA". It matches the Rfam family "Bacterial small subunit ribosomal RNA", at positions 29 to 507 of the family's 1533-position model. The record is from RNAcentral.
AGUGAACGCUGGCGGUAGGCCUAACACAUGCAAGUCGAACGGCAGCACAGUAAGAGCUUGCUCUUACGGGUGGCGAGUGGCGGACGGGUGAGGAAUACAUCGGAAUCUACUUUUUCGUGGGGGAUAACGUAGGGAAACUUACGCUAAUACCGCAUACGACCUACGGGUGAAAGCAGGGGAUCUUCGGACCUUGCGCGAUUGAAUGAGCCGAUGUCGGAUUAGCUAGUUGGCGGGGUAAAGGCCCACCAAGGCGACGAUCCGAAGCUGGUCUGAGAGGAUGAUCAGCCGCACUGGAACUGAGACACGGUCCAGACUCCUACGGGAGGCAGCAGUGGGGAAUAUUGGACAAUGGGCGCAAGCCUGAUCCAGCCAUACCGCGUGGGUGAAGAAGGCCUUCGGGUUGUAAAGCCCUUUUGUUGGGAAAGAAAAGCAGCAGGUUAAUACCCCGCUGUUCUGACGGUACCCAAAGAAUAAGCACCGGCUAACUUCGUG